UCACUUUCGUUAUCGCUUUCACACAUCAUCAUACUUCACUAAAACAACUAAAACUGAAAACGCACGUGUUUGUUAGACUUCAAGCUACAAACUGGUACUAAAAUCAGCUGAUAAUAUCACAUUGCAAGACAGCUAGAGCGCACUGUGCAUUACUUUUGGGACAACCCUCGUAUGUAUACACGUAGUAAUAUUUCACACGCGAAACGCAGAGUAAUACGAGUAUAUCGCGUUUAAUUAUCGAAACAA
Cinara cedri is the source of this 246-nucleotide non-coding RNA. The record is from the annotation of a GenBank genome assembly. NCBI's taxonomy places the organism in Eukaryota, Metazoa, Arthropoda, Insecta, Hemiptera, Aphididae.